AGCUCCAAUAGCGAAUAUUAAAGUUGUUGCAGUUAAAAAGCUCGUAGUUGGAUUUCUGGGCGCAGGGUGCGCCUCCGCCCCCUCGUGGGGUGUGAGCGCUCGCUCCCUGCGCCCAUCCUGGCGGAGACCAGCGCCUGGCAUUAAGUUGUCGGGCCUGGGACCCGCCUCCUUUACUGUGAAAAAAUUAGAGUGUUCAAAGCGGGUGGCACUGCUUGAAUACAUUAGCAUGGAAUAAUACUAUAGGACUGUGGUGCUAUUUUGUUGGUUUGCACACCACCGUAAUGAUUAAUAGGGACAGUUGGGGGUAUUCAUAUUUCGUGGUCAGAGGUGAAAUUCUUGGAUUCACGAAAGAUGAACAUGUGCGAAAGCAUUUACCAAGGAUGUUUUCA
RNAcentral lists this ribosomal RNA (389 nucleotides) under uncultured eukaryote. RNAcentral describes it as "SSU rRNA". It matches the Rfam family "Eukaryotic small subunit ribosomal RNA", at positions 587 to 972 of the family's 1831-position model. The record is from RNAcentral.